GCGCCGGUAGUAUAGCGGUAGUACGCGGCCUUGCCAAGGCUGUAACCCGGGUUCGAUUCCCGGUCGGCGCA
Molecule: transfer RNA, 71 nt
Filed under: Nanobdellota archaeon
Lineage: Archaea; Nanobdellati; Nanobdellota
Description: tRNA-Gly
Rfam family: tRNA
About the family: Transfer RNA (tRNA) molecules are approximately 80 nucleotides in length. Their secondary structure includes four short double-helical elements and three loops (D, anti-codon, and T loops).
Source: RNAcentral